GUCUUGCAGCAUGAAUUGGAAAUACACAAUUUCUCAAAUAUAUGGACGAACUCUUUAUUGUUAUUUCAACAUUUUAAAACCAAGAGCUUAUGAUAGUUAUUGCCUUAUAUCUGUAUCAGUUGUCAAACCAAGACGUCAGAAGCUAGGAUCGUUGCGAGGUUGAAUGUGUUCCUUGCAGUAAGGUUGCGUCGAUUGUCCGACCAGGAGCGGCCGACAGUGAUGUUCCGACCCAAGAGCUCCGUAACAGGGGCUGCCGUCUGCGAUGCCGUAAGAAACAGAACUCCGUAAGGAACAGGUAGGUCUCCUUGGCUAAGUUGCACCCCGAUGAUCAGCAGUGCGCCAAGCAAGAAACCCGAAUCCCAUUACGCUGGCUUACAAAAUCAUUAUCUAUCGAUGCUUUACUACAUAGAAGUACAUGUAAUAUUAGUUAAACUAUAUGACACUAACACGUUUGAACAGAUACGCAAACAAAAUACAGUUAACAAAUUAAAACACAUAAUAUAAUGUUGAAUGAAUGCCCUGUAUUGUUUCCUUCGUUCGACUGUCCGGCGACCAGGAGCGGCCGUCAGCGAUGUUCCUCCAAAGAGUUCCGUUAGGAACAGGUAGGUCUUGUUGGACCCCUCUGGCUCUGCACCCCCGCCGACCAGCAGCGUCAUUUCAAGUGAAGCCAGACGAUGAAAACCUGAAUCCUAGAUAUCGUCUAGAAAAGUAGCUAUGAAUAU
This is a long non-coding RNA of Branchiostoma floridae (Florida lancelet), 722 nucleotides long. RefSeq lists it as uncharacterized. Lineage: Eukaryota; Metazoa; Chordata; Leptocardii; Amphioxiformes; Branchiostomatidae. The transcript is spliced from 2 exons. The record is from RefSeq and is a predicted model, not a curated record.